Molecule: ribosomal RNA, 256 nt
Filed under: uncultured bacterium
Lineage: Bacteria
Description: partial 16S ribosomal RNA
Rfam family: Bacterial small subunit ribosomal RNA
Source: RNAcentral
UAAUACAGAGGGUGCGAGCGUUAUCCGGAAUUAUUGGGCGUAAAGCGUCCGCAGGCGGUUUAUUAAGUAGGAUAUUAAAGCCAAUAGCUCAACUAUUGUUCAGUAUCCUAAACUGAUAAGCUAGAGACUCAUAGAGGUAAGUGGAAUUCUGCAUGUAGGGGUAAAAUCCGUAGAUAUGCAGAGGAACACCAAAAGCGAAAGCAGCUUACUGGAUGAGAUCUGACGCUCAGGGACGAAAGCGUGGGGAGCAAACAGG